GCCUACUGUUUAAUUUUGAGGGUUCGUUUUUACGAAUACCCAAAAGUAGCACUUUAAGCAACAGAAUAAACUGAACGCAUGUGAAGUUUGUUUGUUGGCGCUGUGUGUUAGCACUUUAAGCAACGGGAUUUAUCCGUUGGCGCUGUGCUUUAGCACUUUAAGCAACGGAAUUUAUUCGUUGGCGCUGUGCAUUAGCACUUUGAAAACUGCAUAUAUAUAUUUAGUGAUAUGACAUCUAAUUUGUAAUAUAAAGCUGAUAACUUUUUAAAAUUAUCGAAGUUGAUAGCUUCUAAUCUAUCAAACCUUUUUAACUGGUCAA
This 319-nucleotide unclassified non-coding RNA is filed under the name Clostridioides difficile. Its description in RNAcentral is "16S-23S ribosomal RNA intergenic spacer (ISR)". The record is from RNAcentral. Lineage: Bacteria; Bacillati; Bacillota; Clostridia; Peptostreptococcales; Peptostreptococcaceae.